This 143-nucleotide small RNA is filed under the name Paenibacillus sp. RNAcentral's name for it is "c-di-AMP sequence". It matches the Rfam family "c-di-AMP riboswitch aptamer (ydaO/yuaA leader)". From Rfam's summary of the family: This family represents a conserved RNA structure found upstream of the ydaO and yuaA genes in Bacillus subtilis and related genes in other bacteria. The ydaO/yuaA element is thought to act as a genetic "off" switch for the ydaO and yuaA genes in its native state. It is believed that the element may be triggered during osmotic shock leading to activation of ydaO, a predicted amino acid transporter gene, and members of the yuaA-yubG operon which code for KtrA and KtrB K+ transporters. Lineage: Bacteria; Bacillati; Bacillota; Bacilli; Caryophanales; Paenibacillaceae. The record is from RNAcentral. RNAcentral also lists the same sequence under 1 other name.
GUUAAAAAAAGGCCGAAUCCAGUUCAUCACAAGAGCUGGUACGGGGGAUUCUUUACAUGGGGUGAAUGUUCGUCUGUCUCGAACUAGGGAAAACCUCUUCCCGAAUCCGUCAACUAACCUCGAAGGCCGCAGGAGGAACAACU